CCUACGGGGGGCAGCAGUAGGGAAUAUUGCUCAAUGGGGGGAACCCUGAAGCAGCAACGCCGCGUGGAGGAUGAAGGUUUUCGGAUUGUAAACUCCUUUUGUUAGAGAAGAUAAUGACGGUAUCUAACGGAUAAGCACCGGCUAACUCCGUGCCAGCAGCCGAGGUAACACGGAGGGUGAAAGCGUUACUCGGAAUCAAUGGGCGUAAAGAUCGCGGAGGCGGGAUAGCAAGUCAGAUGUGAAAUCCUAUGGCUUAACCAUAGAACUGCAUUUGAAACUGGUAUUCUAGAGGAUGGGAGAGGUAGGUGGAAUUCUAGGUGUAGGGGUAAAAUCCGUAGAGAUCGAGAGGAAUACGCAUUGCGAAGGCGACCUGCUAGAACAUAACUGACGCUGAUGCGCGAAAGCGUGGGGAGCAAACAGGAUUAGAUACCCGGGUAGUC
This 440-nucleotide ribosomal RNA is filed under the name uncultured bacterium. Its description in RNAcentral is "partial 16S ribosomal RNA". It matches the Rfam family "Bacterial small subunit ribosomal RNA", at positions 338 to 795 of the family's 1533-position model. The record is from RNAcentral.